This 454-nucleotide long non-coding RNA is filed under the name Anas platyrhynchos platyrhynchos (common mallard). RNAcentral's name for it is "lncRNA (ENSAPLG00000025657.1)". The record is from RNAcentral. Lineage: Eukaryota; Metazoa; Chordata; Aves; Anseriformes; Anatidae.
AUGUGGGUUGAAAAGAAGGGAACCCUGAAAAUCUGGGUUGAAAGGAGGAAGGGACCCCAAAAAUUUGGGUUUAGGAGGAGGAAGGGACCCCAAAUUCUGUAUUGGAAAGGAGGAAGGGACCCCAAAAAUCUGGGUGGGAAAGGAGGAAGGGAUCCCAAAAAUGUGGGUUUAAAAAGGAGGAAGGGACCCCAAAAAUCUGGGUAUAAAAGGAGAAAACCACAAAAGUGUGGGUGUAAAAGGAGGAAAAGACCCCAAAAAUUUGGGUCUAGAAGGAGGAGGGGACCCCAAAAAUUGGGGUUUGGUGGGAGGAAGAAAACCCCAAAAAACGGGUUUGAAAAGGAGGAAGGGACCCCAAAAAUCUGCCCCACGAGGACCACUAAUUGCCCCCCCUUAUUUUUUUUACCCCCCCCCAGUUGAGAAACAGGGGCAGAUGCCCCAGGAGGAGCAAGAUUUG